This 1434-nucleotide ribosomal RNA is filed under the name uncultured organism. RNAcentral describes it as "16S ribosomal RNA". It matches the Rfam family "Bacterial small subunit ribosomal RNA". The record is from RNAcentral.
CAGGCUUAACACAUGCAAGUCGAGGGGCAGCAUGGUCUUAGCUUGCUAAGGCCGAUGGCGACCGGCGCACGGGUGAGUAACACGUAUCCAACCUGCCGUCUACUCUUGGACAGCCUUCUGAAAGGAAGAUUAAUACAAGAUGGCAUCAUGAGUCCGCAUGUUCACAUGAUUAAAGGUAUUCCGGUAGACGAUGGGGAUGCGUUCCAUUAGAUAGUAGGCGGGGUAACGGCCCACCUAGUCUUCGAUGGAUAGGGGUUCUGAGAGGAAGGUCCCCCACAUUGGAACUGAGACACGGUCCAAACUCCUACGGGAGGCAGCAGUGAGGAAUAUUGGUCAAUGGGCGAGAGCCUGAACCGGCCAAGUAGCGUGAAGGAUGACUGCCCUAUGGGUUGUAAACUUCUUUUAUAAAGGAAUAAAGUCGGGUAUGCAUACCCGUUUGCAUGUACUUUAUGAAUAAGGAUCGGCUAACUCCGUGCCAGCAGCCGCGGUAAUACGGAGGAUCCGAGCGUUAUCCGGAUUUAUUGGGUUUAAAGGGAGCGUAGAUGGAUGUUUAAGUCAGUUGUGAAAGUUUGCGGCUCAACCGUAAAAUUGCAGUUGAUACUGGAUAUCUUGAGUGCAGUUGAGGCAGGCGGAAUUCGUGGUGUAGCGGUGAAAUGCUUAGAUAUCACGAAGAACUCCGAUUGCGAAGGCAGCCUGCUAAGCUGCAACUGACAUUGAGGCUCGAAAGCGUGGGUAUCAAACAGGAUUAGAUACCCUGGUAGUCCACACGGUAAACGAUGAAUACUCGCUGUUUGCGAUAUACAGCAAGCGGCCAAGCGAAAGCGUUAAGUAUUCCACCUGGGGAGUACGCCGGCAACGGUGAAACUCAAAGGAAUUGACGGGGGCCCGCACAAGCGGAGGAACAUGUGGUUUAAUUCGAUGAUACGCGAGGAACCUUACCCGGGCUUAAAUUGCAGAUGAAUUACGGUGAAAGCCGUAAGCCGCAAGGCAUCUGUGAAGGUGCUGCAUGGUUGUCGUCAGCUCGUGCCGUGAGGUGUCGGCUUAAGUGCCAUAACGAGCGCAACCCUUGUUGUCAGUUACUAACAGGUUCCGCUGAGGACUCUGACAAGACUGCCAUCGUAAGAUGUGAGGAAGGUGGGGAUGACGUCAAAUCAGCACGGCCCUUACGUCCGAGGCUACACACGUGUUACAAUGGGGGGUACAGAGGGCCGCUACCACGCGAGUGGAUGCCAAUCCCAAAAACCUCUCUCAGUUCGGACUGGAGUCUGCAACCCGACUCCACGAAGCUGGAUUCGCUAGUAAUCGCGCAUCAGCCACGGCGCGGUGAAUACGUUCCCGGGCCUUGUACACACCGCCCGUCAAGCCAUGGGAGCCGGGGGUACCUGAAGUGCGUAACCGCGAGGAGCGCCCUAGGGUAAAACUGGUGACUGGGGC